Molecule: transfer RNA, 59 nt
Filed under: Anisakis simplex (herring worm)
Lineage: Eukaryota; Metazoa; Nematoda; Chromadorea; Rhabditida; Anisakidae
Also listed under: 1 other name
Description: tRNA-Asp
Source: RNAcentral
AAAAUUAUAGUAUAAUUUUUAUUAUAUCUCAUUGUCGAUGGGGAGAUUUUUUAAUUUUA